GGACGAUUAGCUCAGCGGGAGAGCGCUUCCCUGACACGGAAGAGGUCACUGGUUCAAU
RNAcentral lists this transfer RNA (58 nucleotides) under Streptomyces jeddahensis. It matches the Rfam family "tRNA", at positions 1 to 57 of the family's 71-position model. Rfam says of the family: Transfer RNA (tRNA) molecules are approximately 80 nucleotides in length. Lineage: Bacteria; Bacillati; Actinomycetota; Actinomycetes; Kitasatosporales; Streptomycetaceae. The record is from Rfam by way of RNAcentral.